UACGUAGGCAGCGAGCGUUGUUCGGAGUUACUGGGCGUAAAGGGUGCGUAGGCGGUUGUUUAAGUUUGGUGUGAAAUCUCCCGGCUCAACUGGGAGGGUGCGCCGAAUACUGAAUGACUAGAGUGCGGGAGAGGAUAGUGGAAUUCCUGGUGUAGCGGUGAAAUGCGUAGAUAUCAGGAAGAACACCCGUGGCGAAGGCGGCUCUCUGGGACGGUACUGACGCUGAGACGCGAAAGCGUGGGGAGCGAACAGG
This 253-nucleotide ribosomal RNA is filed under the name uncultured bacterium. Its description in RNAcentral is "partial 16S ribosomal RNA". It matches the Rfam family "Bacterial small subunit ribosomal RNA", at positions 524 to 776 of the family's 1533-position model. The record is from RNAcentral.